RNAcentral lists this long non-coding RNA (318 nucleotides) under Sus scrofa (pig). Its description in RNAcentral is "lncRNA (ENSSSCG00055007763.1)". The record is from RNAcentral. Lineage: Eukaryota; Metazoa; Chordata; Mammalia; Artiodactyla; Suidae.
AUGUGGCUAGAGACUACUUUUUUGGACAAGAUGAAUACAGAUACUAAAUACAUAACAAUCACUUUCCUCUUUCUGUUGGAUUUUAAAGAAUCUUUAUUUCUCUUAUCAAGAAGUAUAGCACAUUCAACAGACUGGCUUUUCAUUGCAAAACACUCUGUGGAGGACAACAUGAUUAGCAGGAAGAAAAGACAAAAUGCCACUCUGAAAAGUAAUUGUUUGAAGUGCUCUGCGGGGGAAAAAAUCAUGUUCAAUGUAUUCCAUGCCAUUGCUUCUGUGUAUGCAGGUUCAGUCUCACAGGUCAUCAUGUAUAGAAGCUAA